This is a long non-coding RNA of Ictalurus punctatus (channel catfish), 5849 nucleotides long. The record is from Ensembl. Lineage: Eukaryota; Metazoa; Chordata; Actinopteri; Siluriformes; Ictaluridae.
AAGACUGAUGAUGUCAUAUUUAUUGAUGAAAUGUAUUCAUGUCCAUGCUAGUCAUCUGACAAACAUUUGAAGCGACGUGUCAACGCUCUACGAAUCUCUACAACUACGUCAUGACUAAAUAUAAUAAAUAUUUAACGUUUCACGGGCGUAUAAAUUAGCAGGUAAGCUAAGAAAUCGAACUGAAUUCCAGCCAAAAUGUACAUCUAGGAAUGAAUAGGAACUUAAAUAUAGGCAUUAGCUCAAGCCUGGUUUACUGGUAACCAGGCAGUCAAGCCUGCUAGCUUUCAUCCAUUAUUAGCAACACUGCCUUUAGGCAGAGAGAAGACGGUCCAGAAUUGCCCAAUAGUAUUUUUUUUUUUCUUUGUGCUUUCUUGGUUAUAAAUGGGUCUUUUCCUUUGUAAAUGUUAUUACAAAGUAAGACUCUAAAGCGUAUAAAGAUGACUGUGAGGAACUCUUGUAGCCGGCUAGUUGUCAGAUUUGUUUUAGAGUGGACUCCAUUAGCAAGUUCCUGACUGCAGGUUUGGACUCUGCGUUGGAUCAACACGGUCGAGCGAGCGGAACAUUAACAGAACCGUCCGACAACUUGAUGGCAAUGUGAAAUCUUAUCCAAACAAAAAGGGUGCCAGGUUGUAGGCCUGCCAAAAGCCUUGGUCUGAGUUUUCACGUGUAUGUGCAUGUAGCUGGAAGUGUAUCGCUGCUGGCAUGACUCAAUACAUCAGUUUGUUUCAUGCCUGAUCCUGAAUAUUCGCACUGAUGUGCUGUGGAUUAUAAAAACUGUGUGUGUGUGUGUGUGUGUGUGUGUGUGUGUGUGCGUGCUUACGGGCCUACACCGACGAGAUCAGUCGAGUCAAAGCACAUAAAUCACAAGCUGGGCCGGAGUAGACAAGCCAAUAUCGAUCUACUCCUCACAACACAUUCAUUUUAUAGUGUGAAGGAGAGCCGUAGAGUUCACACGGCGCUCUUUCACGGAGCUCUUUCGCGUCCAAUUCUGGGACCUUUUGUUUCUCUCGCUGAUGCUUUUGAUUCCAUCGUCAGCCCAGGCUCCGUUCCAGUCAGCCCUCAAGUUCCACAAAUCACAGUGCCCUUUUUUAACAGCCUGCCCCCUUUUGGAGUGUGCUGCUCUCUUCCCCCAGUAGUCCGCCCUCGCUGGCUCUCAAUUAUCAUCGUGGCUUUCGCCGUGACUUUUCCUGUCCGCUUUGAUCGAAGAGGAGCCGCUGUAACACGUCGUUCAAAUCUCCAUGUUUACAGUUUAGAGCCCCGGAGUCAAACACGUUAGCUGUCUUUUAAAAAAAAAUUAGUAUUUCACACUGAGCUUGCUGCCAAACUGACCUCUCUUAGUCACGCUGUCUCUGCCUCUGUCCCUGAUGGCCAAAUAGCCUCCGUAAAUGCCUACACGUAGACACUGUUCACCGGCUAAUGGGGGUGUGUUUGUUUAUUUAUUUAUUUAUUUAUUUAUUUAUUUAUCCAUUUUCAUUCUUAUACACACACACACACACACACACACAAAAAAAGCCAUUUGAACAGCUACGUCUUUGCCUCAGAGUUCAGCACAAAAAAAUGGCAGAGAAGUGCCUCGAGUGUAUGCCUGGUUUCCUUCAAACAUAACAGAACCUUUUGCUUAUGCUCGUGAUUCCAUAAAAGGUUUAAUGUAGCGCAAAUCUCUUGACUUGAAAGACGUCUGCGCAAAAAAACACAUCUGUCCAUCGAGUCGUCGUGUAUCGGCUCUGUCUCAAACUUCAACUUGUGACCCCGCCAGCCGAGAACGAUCUGGUACGGGAAUCGGGAUGCCUGCGGCGCCGCAUUCUUCCGUGUUUUCCCCGUUCGAACACCAAGCUUGACUCGUUAGCAUCCGCCAGAGCUGUCGAAGCUGGGAAGACCCAAAAACAAAGCAGCAUGUUGGUUCACCAGAAUUGGAAAUACCCAUUCCCGACCUAGGAUCUAAUUACAGCAUGUGCUGACGCAAAACCAUCUUCCCAGGGGUGGUCAGAAAGUCCUGAUGUGAAAGAAGCAGAAUGAGAUAUCGAGGGGCGUCCGAUCGACGUAUACCCCGAUAGGUCCGGGGUCCAGCUUCAUUGCAUCACGUUAAAAAUAAUCGCAAAACAGUUUAAACCGAUUAGCUACUGGAAAACCAGCCAGAACUAACAAACCCGUUGACUUUGUGACUUCAGAUUGACCCUCGGGGCCGUUCGUCUUUGAAAACGACAGUCCUGGGAUUGUACAAAGGAGGAUGUUUACACUGAGUCAGGGAAGAACUAACAGGAUUUCUUAGUCAAUAACACAAGGCCCACUUGUUUGAAAUCAGUCAGCAGUAUGGUCUUCAUUUUAGGAGGACGCUGCAAACAUUCUACUGCACAACAGAGCUCUGUUUGCUUCCAUCUGCUGCCAUUUUGGUCCGCCCCGAACGAGGCCGGAACUCACUGGAUGCACUUGUUAAACCGAUGCGGCGUUUCAAUUCCGAACGUACCUCUACCUUCGAGUGCUGGGAGUGAGGUUCGAAAGGUUCUUUCACUGAUCUGCUGUAGCCAAAUGAAACGUCAAUAUAAAAUCACUUUCUUUUUGUUCUCUCUCUCUCUCUCUCUCUCUCUCUCUCUCUCUCUCUCUCUCUCUCUCAUGGAUCGACGCAAUCAUGGCGUUUGGCUUUUGCUCAAGCAGAGUCAUUGGCGAACCGUUUGAAUGAGGAAGGAUGUUAGGGAGAUUACACAAACAGGGAUAGGGUAUAUUUUGGGCACAUCUCGAGCAUUGAUGAGCAGUUUUGUUUCUAGUCUUUCCAACGUCUGGUAGAACGGCACAUGUAGAAUGUAGUUUUCCGUCGUCCCUUAAAGGGUCAAUGUCUCUGUAGAAUUCCACCAAAGAGUGUUUCCCCAUUAGAAAGAUGUCGGAGUGGAAGCCUUAAGUAGUGUUUUCCACUUUCCACCCAACCGCCUGCACACAUUGUACAUGUAAUUGAAUGAGAAGAGGCAGCAAGAUGGCCACCGCUGUUUUCAGAGCUCUCGGCUUUUCGGAAAAGUUGCUUUUUUUUCCUUUCCCAUAUCUGCACUAAAGACAUUCUAGAGCGCACUUUUGAAAAAUAAAUAACAAUAAGUCACACGCUAAGUGAGGAAACGGCUUCAAGCAAGAGUACGAUCUUCUUCACUAAUGCGUCGGAGUGCGUAUCAGGCGUUAUAGUACGAUUAACAGCGUGUUAGGAGCGUACAGUGUUGGCGUCCGGAUUAAAUAUUUACCGCUAACGGGAAAUUAAGCGAAUCCGUUUAUUUCUAUUGUAUUUGAUAACAGGCUGGUAGUGGACUCGUACUUCUCCAACACAUUGUCAAUCUACGCCUCCUUCAUCCCGCCUCGUUAAGCUCUAAUUUGCACCUCUGUGAAAGAGCGAAAGUGAACGCUGUGGGGGAAUCGUGAUGCUUGUGUUUGCCUACAGCUGGAGAACACUUCCCACGAGAGGGAGGCGAGAGCAGUAAAUGUUUACGUGCGAAGGGUCAACCCUCCUGUUUCUUGAAAAUCAGCUCCGAGUCUCCGCUCAGGCAGGAGCGUACUAUGAAGAUGAGGCCUAAAUCUUACGUCUAUAGGCUACACGUGGCUCUCCUGGUUUAAAGAUGUACUAACAGGUACUGAUUACGUGGCAGAACAAAAAAGGGUCAGGGCGGGUUUCAUUUUAGAACCACAAAUGCUGCUUUCACACUUUGAGUUUUUUUUCUCAACCGCCAGUUGUACAUGUAACCCUACAGGAAGCAGUUGCAAGGUGGGCGAAUGGAGGCGUUUUCAAAAAGCACUGCCUCCUGCGGGUUUUUCGGUCUCUGAGGAGCGCUGAAAAAGUUUUCAGAAAAGCACAGUCAAGUUUUUAUUUAUUUCUUUCUUUUUUUAAUGGAUGUAUGUAUUAUUUUUUUCCAGCCAAGUUUGGAGGUUCAUGCGGCGACCCAGCAAACAGGGGACGUCCCCCGGAGAUUACGACCGUCCACUUAGGUCCGGGUUUAUAACGUUCGCUAGUGAGCGGACGUUCCGAGGACGUCUGAGGAUAUCGAAUCAUAACAAUACUGGAUGUGUUCAUUUCAGCGAAAGUCCCCCGAGCGUCCCGAUUGGCCGCUGGACGUCCUGUGAACGUCCCUUUGAACGUACCUAGGAUGUCUGGGGGACCCUACACAUGGAUGUUCGUAGACGCCAUUCAUGAGACGUCCUGGUGACGCUUUUUUUUUUUUGUCAGCUGGGAAGCAAGAAAAAACAAAAUGGAGGACAAAGCGACGGAGAAAAGCGUGUCUUGUUAAUGAGCGAAAUCCGAAAGAGAUUUGAAUCCAAUGACGCAACGUAACGGGAUGUAUUUUCGGGAUGUUCACCAGUACGUGAUGUGACCCACUGUAACGGUGGCUCCAUACAGUCGAGCCACAGACAAACUUUCUUGAUUUUCUGUCUCCGAAGCUAUGACGAAGCUUCGACGUCGCCACUUCAACCUUUUCUCGGAGAGCUAGCUAGUUAGCUAGUUAGCCGAUUCGAACUAGAACUGGAAAGCGUGUUGUGGUGUAAAAAUGAUUUUCAUACCAGAACUAAAAGCUGUUCAGCCAAAGUGUUUUCUAAUUUGACAUUCACCUGUGGAGUAAUAAAGACUCAAAACAGAGCAUUUAUUUAAAAAAAUAAAAUAAAUUAAUUGGAACCUAUUCAAGUGAAGCUUUGCAAAAAAAAAUAAAAUAAAAAAAAUCUCAAUACAAGUCAACAAUGAGUCGAUUCUCGGAAGUAGAGCUGUAGGACUGUCGAGGCUUUCUGUACUGACUUGGACUUAUUGCUAAAUGAGGUCUUGGUAUUGACCUUGAGGUUUCUUUGACGAGAAGCACUUCCUUCCUUUAGAAAUCAGCCCAGUCAUCGGCGUAUUGCACAAAUGAAGCUAGCUGAAGUAAAGGCUUGGCGUCAAACAGGAUUCGAUGGUAUUCUGUCUUGACCUUGACUCAGUCGUGCUUGCAUUUGACCCCCUUAAGACUCGGUCUUGACUCCAUCUCAGCUAGUCCUGGUCUUGAACUCUUGGACAAUGGCAUUCUUGAACUACUCGGAAGGAAGUACGAACCCAUUUUCGGUCCCCUCGUUCUUGAGACACACGCAUGUAGUCAGAGAGAGUGUGUGUGGUGUCCAGCCUACACAAUGUAGACGUAAAACCCACUGUAGCAAAGCAUUUAUUUAUUUAUUUAUUUUUAUUUUUGUUUUUUUGCAUUAGCCUAAUUGUAGCAGGCCAAAUCCCCUCCCCCUCCCCAGUCUAAUCUCAGGCAUACCAGUCCAGCAGUUGCUAUAUUCUGCUGCCACAGUGUUGUAAAUCAUAUUUGUCUUAUGAAAACUGGACAAACUAAAGCUACUUCUAAAAUUUUCCUCUAUAAUAUUAGUGUAUAAAGAUGUUCUUCAGGCCCGAUCGAGGGAUUAAGAUAAAGCCUGUGGAAAACCUUUCGCCCACUACGUCGACAUCAACCAGUCAAACACACCACACUGACUGUGGUCUCCGAAAGACAAACGAAUGAAAUUAUUCAGCGCACUCUGGUGGUGUCGGAGGGAACUGCAACCGUCUCUAAGGAGCGUUCAACCCUUUCAGUUCAGAGCCCAUUGAAGCCUCAGAUUCCUGUUCCUAGCCCAUCCACCUCAAGGUUUGCAGUGUUGUGUGUUCUGAGAUGCUUUUCUGCUUGCCAAGGUUGUAACGAGUGGUUAUUUGAGUUACGGUAUUCGCUAUCAGUGCCAUCAUUCACCUUCGCAAUGAUUGUCAUAUUUAUGGAACCAUAGUACUGUAUAUGGACUAUGGCACAACCAUGAUUCUAGAGCAGGGGUGUCCACACUCGGUCUUGGAGGGCCACUGUCCUGCAGAGUUUAGCUUCAACUUGCCUCCAGAC